GUGCUCACUUGGGCAGCACACAUGCUAAAAUUGGAACAAUACGGAGAAAAUGAGCACGGCCCUGGUGUAAGGAUAACAUGCAAAUUUAUGAAAUGUUCCAUAUAAAA
Molecule: small nuclear RNA, 107 nt
Organism: Nycticebus coucang (slow loris)
Lineage: Eukaryota; Metazoa; Chordata; Mammalia; Primates; Lorisidae
Source: RefSeq, a predicted model, not a curated record